AUAGCCUUAAGAAUUUAUUUAAGGUUUAGCCUGCCCAAUGUUUAAAUUAAUGGCCGCAGUACCUUAACUGUGCAAAGGUAGCAUAAUCAAUUGGCUUUUAAAUGGAGUCUUGUAUGAAAGGAGUGACGUGGUAAAUCUGUCUCAAUUUUGUUUUAUUUAACUUACUAAAAAGGUGAAAAAUCCUUUAAUUAUGAAAAAAGACGAGAAGACCCUUAGAGUUUUUAUAAAAGUUUAUUGACAUAAGCUAAGUAUUUGUUGGGGCGACAAGGAAACAAAUAACUUUCCUGUUUUACUAGACGCGUUUUCAAAGUAAGAUUAAACUACCUAAGGGAUAACAGCAUAAUUCUUUUUGAGUUUGUGACCUCGAUGUUGGACUAGGAACUAAUCAGACAAGCCGUCUGGCUUUGUGGCUCUGUUCGAGCUU
RNAcentral lists this ribosomal RNA (424 nucleotides) under Siphonaria sp. LINE-2015f. RNAcentral describes it as "partial 16S ribosomal RNA". It matches the Rfam family "Bacterial large subunit ribosomal RNA", at positions 1827 to 2588 of the family's 2925-position model. Lineage: Eukaryota; Metazoa; Mollusca; Gastropoda; Siphonariida; Siphonariidae. The record is from RNAcentral.